UNCGAACGGGUAACAGGAAGCAGCUUGCCUGCUUNGCUGACGAGUGGCGGACGGGUUGCAGUAAUGUCUGGGAAACUGCCUGAUGGAGGGGGAUAACUACUGGAAACGGUAGCUAAUACCGCAUAACGUCGCAAGACCAAANAGGGGGACCUUCGGGCCUCUUGCCAUCGGAUGUGCCCANAUGGGAUUANCUUGUNGGUGGGGUAACGGNUCACCUAGGCNACGAUCCCUAGCUGGUCUGAGAGGAUGACCANCCACACUGGAACUGANACACGGUCCAGACUCCUACGGGAGGCANCAGUGGGGAAUAUUGCACAAUGGGCGCAAGCCUGAUGCANCCAUGCCGCGUGUAUGAAGAAGGCCUUCGGGUUGUAAAGUACUUUCAGCGGGGAGGAAGGGAGUAAAGUUAAUACCUUUGCUCAUUGACGUUACCCGCAUAAGAAGCACCGGCUAACUCCGUGCCAGCAGCCNCGGUAAUACNGAGGGUGCAAGCGUUAAUCGGAAUUACUGGGCGUAAANCGCACNCAGGCGGNUUGUUAAGUCNGAUGUGAAAUCCCCGGGCUCAACCUGGGAACUGCAUCUGAUACUGGCAAGCUUGAG
Molecule: ribosomal RNA, 600 nt
Filed under: Escherichia coli
Lineage: Bacteria; Pseudomonadati; Pseudomonadota; Gammaproteobacteria; Enterobacterales; Enterobacteriaceae
Description: partial 16S ribosomal RNA
Rfam family: Bacterial small subunit ribosomal RNA
Source: RNAcentral